This is a long non-coding RNA of Cyprinodon tularosa, 873 nucleotides long. RefSeq lists it as uncharacterized. The transcript is spliced from 4 exons. NCBI's taxonomy places the organism in Eukaryota, Metazoa, Chordata, Actinopteri, Cyprinodontiformes, Cyprinodontidae. The record is from RefSeq and is a predicted model, not a curated record.
CCGGCGUCACUGGGAGGAGGACAGUGAUGACAGCCCUUAUCUGGUUUGGUCUGUUUUGUGAAACCGUUCUUUAGAGUGGCAAAAAGGUGACAGUAGUGACUAAGUCUAUAACAUAUAUUAAUAUGAUUGCUUAAUGAGAUAAGUGCAGACAAAUCAAUAAUCAGUUAAAAUGUUUUUUUACUUGGGCAUUUUCUUUUGUAACUGCCAGGAUUCUGUGCACUUUGCUCCGCUGAUUCUCUUCCACAGGUGGCUGUUGUUGACAGGUGGGCGUGGCCCACACCUGCGGCUCGUUGGGGCUGCUCUGGCUGGAGCUUAAAAGGAGCUUUCAAUCAGCUGAAGGGCUCCAGAGUGUUAGACUGUUGUGUUCGUCAUGCUCUGGAGUACUCGACUGUCGUGUCCCCGUGCGCUGAAGACUGGUUCCUGAAUCCCUGCUGCUCAGAUUCUGUUCUGGCGUUCCCCUCAAGCUCCCUUGUUGGUACCAAGCAGGACAGGAAACCCCCUUUCCUGGAUUCACUCUGGUUCCUUGAGCUGCUACUUGUGCCUGUCUCAGCUGUGGUGCUGCUCUGGCUCCCGUCUAUGUCCCAUCCGCUAGCACACCUGUCGCUCAACCUUUUCCUCCCAUCGGAAAGCAGAGAGUCGCAGAACCCCUUCUUCCAGUCACCCUUCCCGGAUAGGCUAUCUGUACGUAGCGUGCUCCUAACUCUGACGUUCCGAACCUUGCCUGCAGCUCGCAUAGUGAGCAAUCAGAUCUCUAUGGUGCCCUGUUCUCGUUGAGCCUCCUUGCACACCUGCGGCUCGUUGGGUCUUUACCAGAGGAGUAUUUGAGCAGCGGGCCGUCACUACCUCGACGCCAGAGUCUUUGCUAGUAUUGGG